AGUGAACGCUGGCGGCGUGCUUAACACAUGCAAGUCGAACGAGAACGGGUUAUAGCUUGCUAUAAUUGUCAGCUAAGUGGCGCACGGGUGAGUAAUGUAUAGGUAAUAUGCCUCUUACUAAGGGAUAACAAAUGGAAACGUUUGCUAAUACCUUAUACUCCUUAUUAACAGAAGUUAAUAAGGGAAAGAUUUAUUGGUAAGAGAUUAGCCUGUAUUGUAUCAGUUAGUUGGUGGGGUAAUGGCUUACCAAGACUAUGACACAUAACUGGUUUGAGAGGAUGAUCAGUCACACUGGAACUGAGACACGGUCCAGACUCCUACGGGAGGCAGCAGUGGGGAAUAUUGGACAAUGGGCGAAAGCCUGAUCCAGCAACGCCGCGUGAGGGAUGACGGCCUUCGGUGCGUAAACUCCUUUUAUAUGAGAAGAUAAUGACGGUAUUAUAUGAAUAAGCACCGGCUAACUCCGUGCCAGCAGCCGCCGUAA
RNAcentral lists this ribosomal RNA (484 nucleotides) under uncultured bacterium. RNAcentral's name for it is "partial 16S ribosomal RNA". It matches the Rfam family "Bacterial small subunit ribosomal RNA", at positions 29 to 523 of the family's 1533-position model. The record is from RNAcentral.